CAGUAAUUCAGCAAGGGAGAGUGGAUGGCUCGUUCACUGACAGGUCUAGCAGUUGAUCCCAGCUGGUGGCUGGGGAACUGUUCAGCUGGAACGUACACAUGGGGCCUCUCCGUGUGACCUGGGCUUCCUCCCAACAUGGCGACUAGAGUCUAAGCAGGGCACCUGUGUGUGAUACAUGGUGGAGAUGACAAUGACAAAAACGUCAGGGAGCCUGGAUCCCUGAGUCACCACCUGGAGGAGAACCAUCCAAUCCAUAAUGUCUUUACUCCAAAUUCAUUGCCUCUAGACAUGUGUGAGACUGCAGUGUUCAG
Molecule: long non-coding RNA, 311 nt
Organism: Balaenoptera musculus (blue whale)
Lineage: Eukaryota; Metazoa; Chordata; Mammalia; Artiodactyla; Balaenopteridae
Exons: 3
Source: RefSeq, a predicted model, not a curated record